GACGAACGCUGGCGGCGUGCUUAACACAUGCAAGUCGAACGGAAAGGCCCUGCUUUUGUGGGGUGCUCGAGUGGCGAACGGGUGAGUAACACGUGAGUAACCUGCCCUUGACUUUUGGAUAACUUCAGGAAACUGUGGUUACUACCGGAUAGGAUCUCCUGCUGCAUGGUGGGGGUUGGAUAGUUUCGGCGGUUGGGGAUGGACUCGCGGCUUAUCUGCUUGUUGGUGGGGUAGUGGCUUACCAAGGCUUUGACGGGUAGCCGGCCUGAGAGGGUGACCGGCCACAUUGGGACUGAGAUACGGCCCAGACUCCUACGGGAGGAAGAGGUGGGGAGAAUUGCAAAAGGGGCGGAAGCCGGAUGCAGAAACGCCGGGGGCGGGAUGACGGCCUUCGGGUUGAAAACCGCUUUCGCCUGUGACGAAGCGGGAGUGACGGUAAUGGGUAAAGAAGCACCGGCUAACUACGUG
This 468-nucleotide ribosomal RNA is filed under the name uncultured bacterium. RNAcentral's name for it is "partial 16S ribosomal RNA". It matches the Rfam family "Bacterial small subunit ribosomal RNA", at positions 28 to 507 of the family's 1533-position model. The record is from RNAcentral.